This 71-nucleotide transfer RNA is filed under the name Loxodonta africana (African savanna elephant). It matches the Rfam family "tRNA". Rfam says of the family: Transfer RNA (tRNA) molecules are approximately 80 nucleotides in length. Their secondary structure includes four short double-helical elements and three loops (D, anti-codon, and T loops). Lineage: Eukaryota; Metazoa; Chordata; Mammalia; Proboscidea; Elephantidae. The record is from Rfam by way of RNAcentral.
GCAGUGGUGGUUCAGUGGUAGAAUUCUUCCCUUUGACACGAAAGGCCCAGGUUCAAUUCCCAGCCUUUGCA